UGUGUGUGAACUCCAUAUUAUUUAAAAUAUUAUUUUAGAAUUUUUCACCUUCAAAAUUGUGAAUUCAAUACAUUCGAUUUGAAUCUAUUGGAGUAACAGAAUAUGAAGCCAUGCAACACAGUUUCAAGUGUGAAGAUGAGCACUCAUGCCACGUGUCAUUUCAUCUUAGUAGUUAGUUAUGUAGCUUAGCAGUUAAGUGAAAUUAGUUGUACUAAUCUUCUCUCAUAACUACUGUAUUACAGCUGUAUAAAUAGUCUUGCUCUUCACACUUUGUAACCGUUUUUCAUCAUGAAAUGAAAUCCCAUUUUACCUCUCUAUUAUGCCUAGCUUAUCUUCAAUAUGGUAUCUAGAGCAUUUUAUUCGAGAAAUCUGAUCGGCUGCAGCAAAUUGGAGAUGUGAUUUGUUGCUAUUGCAUUUUUUUGUCUGCUGAUUUUUUAUUUCUCCACGGUUUUUCUCGAUCCAAAAUCUCUCAUGGCCAUGGCCACACAUUUACCUCAAGCUUCCACUUCUUCAUCACCACUACCAAAUUUACAUCCCCUGGUUCUUCGACUUGACAAAAGCAAUUAUGCAUUCUGGAGAAUUCAAGUCUUAAGCAGUAUUAAUUCGUGCUCAUGGAUUAGAAGAUAUAAUCUCACCGAUUGCCGCUCCACCACUGCAGUUACUUCCUACCGCUCAAAUCAAUCCGCGCACGCCUCUACGAACAAAUCCAUAAUACAUGAUUUGGAUAUGAAAGGAUCAGUUCUUAAUGAGUUGGAUGUUAUCAUCCAUAGGUGAAACAAUGUUGGAGCAUGUUGUCUGGUGUUCCUCUGCAUCUGCAAUUUGGCAAACUCUGGAACAAUUGUUUCAUUCACAGUCAUGAGCUCGAGUGCUUCAGCUGAAAAAGAUGUUGCACUCACAGAAAAAAGGAUCUCUUAGCAUAUAUGAUUUCUUUCUUCGCAUGCAUAGUUAUGCUGAUCAGUUGAGUGCUGCAGGACAUCAAAUACAGGAUGAUGAGUUAGGCGAUUACAUUCUCAAUGACUGUGGACCAGAAUUCGAAGCAGUUGUCAUCAACCUCAUGCAUCGAGCAAAUCCACCAUCACUUCAGGAAAUGCAGUAUGCCUUGCAAUCACAUGAGAUCCGGCUUUAACAGUCAGCAUACAUUCUAGAUCCUAUGGCUAACUAUGUGCAAAGAGGUCGUGGCACAAAAGGUCGAGGCAUGAUUGGAAGGAGUGUCAAACACACUGGAAAAACUUCAAUUGUUUGCCAACUCUGUGGAAAAAUAGGUCAUGUUGCUUUAAAAUAUUUUAAGAGAUUUGAUUUCUCUUUUAUUGGUGCAGAUCCAACAAAUUCUCCACCACUAGCUUAUAUCAAUGUCUUCAUCAACUUCCAGAGUAUGAAUUAGAUGAGGAAUAAGGUCUUUGGUAUGUGGAUAGUGGAGCCAUAAAUCAUAUCACACAUGACUUGAGUAAUCUGCAGCUUCAAACUCCAUACAUUGGGACAGAAUCUCUAACAGUUGGAAAUGCUGCCUUGUGAAGAACAAAAGAAGUCUUCAAAUUCUGUUGAAGGGAACACUACAUAAAGGCCUUUAUCAACUUGAUUUGUCUGAGUUUCAUGCUAGGUCAACCCUUACUACUUCUGCUUCACAACAUAUUUCCUCUACCAGUGUACCAUCUGCUUUAGUUUCUACUUGUAAUAGUAAAAAAACAUGUAAUCCAUCUGAAUAAAAUGGAUCUUUGGCACAAAAGAUUGGGUUAUCCUAGCCUUCCUAUUUUAAUUUCUGUACUUAAUAGUCUAAAUGUAUCAGUUAAAACUUCUGCCA
This is a long non-coding RNA of Salvia miltiorrhiza (redroot sage), 1798 nucleotides long. RefSeq lists it as uncharacterized. NCBI's taxonomy places the organism in Eukaryota, Viridiplantae, Streptophyta, Magnoliopsida, Lamiales, Lamiaceae. The record is from RefSeq and is a predicted model, not a curated record. The transcript has 2 exons.